Homo sapiens (human) is the source of this 2143-nucleotide long non-coding RNA. Ensembl annotates it as Pvt1 oncogene. Its record names the gene PVT1. The record is from Ensembl. Lineage: Eukaryota; Metazoa; Chordata; Mammalia; Primates; Hominidae.
GGCCGGGCGGGCUCGGGGCGGCCGGGACGAGGAGGGGCGACGACGAGCUGCGAGCAAAGAUGUGCCCCGGGACCCCCGGCACCUUCCAGUGGAUUUCCUUGCGGAAAGGAUGUUGGCGGUCCCUGUGACCUGUGGAGACACGGCCAGAUCUGCCCUCCAGCCUGAUCUUUUGGCCAGAAGGAGAUUAAAAAGAUGCCCCUCAAGAUGGCUGUGCCUGUCAGCUGCAUGGAGCUUCGUUCAAGUAUUUUCUGAGCCUGAUGGAUUUACAGUGAUCUUCAGUGGUCUGGGGAAUAACGCUGGUGGAACCAUGCACUGGAAUGACACACGCCCGGCACAUUUCAGGAUACUAAAAGUGGUUUUAAGGGAGGCUGUGGCUGAAUGCCUCAUGGAUUCUUACAGCUUGGAUGUCCAUGGGGGACGAAGGACUGCAGCUGGCUGAGAGGGUUGAGAUCUCUGUUUACUUAGAUCUCUGCCAACUUCCUUUGGGUCUCCCUAUGGAAUGUAAGACCCCGACUCUUCCUGGUGAAGCAUCUGAUGCACGUUCCAUCCGGCGCUCAGCUGGGCUUGAGAAUCCUGUUACACCUGGGAUUUAGGCACUUUCAAUCUGAAAAAAUACAUAUCCUUUCAGCACUCUGGACGGACUUGAGAACUGUCCUUACGUGACCUAAAGCUGGAGUAUUUUGAGAUUGGAGAAUUAAGAUGUCUGCAACCAAGUCAUUAUAACACAGAAGGGACCUUGCAGCCAUUGUGUCUUUGUGCUCAGAGCCAGUCUUGGUGCUCUGUGUUCACCUGGUUCAUCUGAGGAGCUGCAUCUACCCUGCCCAUGCCAUAGAUCCUGCCCUGUUUGCUUCUCCUGUUGCUGCUAGUGGACAUGAGGUAACCACAGCCUAGUUCUGUGAUAAGCUCUUCACACCUGUACCCAUAUGGACUGUGGGAGAGUUUCUCUGAUAUGGACUGUGAUGCGGGUGAGUCAUAGUGCACACUCACACUUAAUUUCACAAGUACUGCCAGAUUGUGUUCCAGAAUGACUGUACCAGUUUACACUUCCACAGGCAGUGCUCAAGAUUUCUGUUUCCCUCUGUCCUCGCCAGCACCUGGUAUUGGCAGAUGCAUCAAAAAGGAUGCAUUUGACAGCUCAACCACCUCAGAGCACUUGAUUAGCAUCCCUGUGAUGGCCCUUUCUGCUGCAGACAUCACUUUGUCAUAACAGCAUUUUGAGCAGGAAGAAGCAUCAGGCAGGAAAAAAGGGGCCCUUUUACUGUGACUCCCUAUCUUCUGUUAGGGAAGAAAAUUUUCCCCAGAAAUCCCCAGUAGACUUCCCCUAUGUCUCAGUGGCCAAACUGGGCCAGGUAAGCUCCCAGCCAGUCCCUGACAGAGAUAACAAGAUUGUCAUGGCUGUUUCAAGCCAGGGCCAAUUCUUCCCCCUGCCAUGGACUUUUUUUGAGCACAUUGCUAUCUCCCUUGUCCCUGAAUAGAACUGGGAAUAUUUUAAUAAAGAAGAAGAGACCAGUGGCUGAUCAGUAACUUGGCAGCCAACAGAGUCUUCUACAUCAGAGUUCUGCAUUUGCCAACUUUUUGCAUGCAUGCUGCCUCUUCUAUAUAAGGGAUCUUCCCCCACAUCUGUUUGAUUUGCAGAGAAUGUCAGAAGCGGCGAGUCACUCAUACAUGUCCAUUGCUUUGGGGAUUAGAUCCAUCCAGCUCAUUUUGGAAACGGCAAUUCUUUUUGCCAGGCAGACAUGAGACCCAUUUCCACACCAGCUGCUCCAGCUGAGGUUCCCAUGCAGGUUCUGCGUGACAGAAAUCAAUAGAAAGAUUCGAAGGGCAGAGCACCAAAGUUCCUGCCCUGCACCAUGAUGUCAAAGCAGAAUGCCUGCUGAGGACAGGUGCAGAUGAAUACCUGUCAGAGAGUAUCACUUCUGCAAGCAGCAACUUCCCCUUCUUGUCAGCCACGUGGAUGCCAUAGUAACCUUGUGUUUCUGGCUAGCUCAAGAAAUUAAUUUAUAGGAUGUGUGCAGCAGGUCAUGCCUGUAAUCCCAGAACUUUUGGAGGCUGAGGCGGGAGGAUCACUUGAGGCCAGGAGAUUAAUACCACCCUAGGCAACUAAGGAGACCCCCAUCUCUAUAAAAAUUUUUAAAAAAAAAAA